UACGUAGGGGGCAAGCGUUGUCCGGAAUCAUUGGGCGUAAAGAGCGUGUAGGCGGCCCGAUAAGUCCGCUGUGAAAGUCCAGGGCUCAACCCUGGGAUGCCGGUGGAUACUGUCGGGCUCGAGUCCGGAAGAGGAGUGUGGAAUUCCUGGUGUAGCGGUGAAAUGCGCAGAUAUCAGGAGGAACACCAAUAGCGAAGGCAGCUCGCUGGGACGUAACUGACACUGAGGCGCGAAAGCGUGGGGAGCGAACAGG
This 253-nucleotide ribosomal RNA is filed under the name uncultured bacterium. Its description in RNAcentral is "partial 16S ribosomal RNA". It matches the Rfam family "Bacterial small subunit ribosomal RNA", at positions 524 to 776 of the family's 1533-position model. The record is from RNAcentral.